Molecule: small RNA, 107 nt
Filed under: Sinorhizobium meliloti 1021
Lineage: Bacteria; Pseudomonadati; Pseudomonadota; Alphaproteobacteria; Hyphomicrobiales; Rhizobiaceae
Description: EcpR1
Rfam family: EcpR1
About the family: Perviously named SmelC291, SmrC10, or Sra33. According to its overproduction phenotype it was renamed Elongated Cell Phenotype RNA1.
Source: Rfam by way of RNAcentral
UUACCCCAUGAUGCUCAGGUCCGCCGCAUCUCCUGGGUCGUGGGGUCGGUCGGCUGGCCUCGGACUUGCGGAUUCCUCGUGCUGCAACCGGACCAGUCGACCCCCAU